Danio rerio (zebrafish) is the source of this 54-nucleotide non-coding RNA. The record is from Rfam. Lineage: Eukaryota; Metazoa; Chordata; Actinopteri; Cypriniformes; Danionidae.
UUUAUCCUCUUUUGUAAGUCGCUUUAGAUAAAAGCGUCUGCUAAACGGCAUGUG